UGAUGUAGGAAUACUCAAUGUUAUUUUAAGUUAGUGGGCCCAUUCAAGUACUCAACAUAUUUUUGCCACAUCAUUUAGUAAAUCCAUUAUGUAGUGUCUCCAGCAUCAUUCAUUUUGGUAAUGGGCGGAGAUUGUGAAGAGGAAGGCUAAUGGUCCGAAGAGAAAGUAGUUCCGUUAAUUUGAGUUCAAAGAAAGGUUGCCAGAGUAAUUUCAACAUUUAAUAUGGGACAAAAGAAAAGGUGUUAUCGUUUUAUUUGGUAACAUGGAAAUAUUAGUGAGGAAGUAUUAAUGAAGGUGAACACAAAUAAGAGGAAGAUGCUUGUUUUUUCUUGUGGAAGUAAUAGGUCAUGUUUGCUGGUUACUGCUGGAAUUAGGUAACUUUACCCUUAAUUCUCAACUAUCAAAGUCUGUUGGUAGAUACAUACAAUCUGGAGCAUA
Long non-coding RNA from Rhodamnia argentea, 438 nucleotides. RefSeq lists it as uncharacterized. The record is from RefSeq and is a predicted model, not a curated record. NCBI's taxonomy places the organism in Eukaryota, Viridiplantae, Streptophyta, Magnoliopsida, Myrtales, Myrtaceae. The transcript is spliced from 2 exons.